GGUCAUGAGUGCCAGCACGGAGCCCCGGCUUGCUGGCCGGCAACCCUCCUUCCGCGGUGGGGUGCCCCGGGUGAGGACCAGGUCCGGUGUCGCGACGACGCCGGUCAAGCGCGGGUU
RNAcentral lists this non-coding RNA (117 nucleotides) under Arthrobacter sp. Its description in RNAcentral is "SAM-IV sequence". It matches the Rfam family "SAM (S-adenosyl methionine) riboswitch aptamer". Rfam says of the family: SAM-IV is a mRNA element that regulates gene expression via direct sensing of S-adenosylmethionine (SAM or AdoMet). SAM-IV riboswitches share conserved nucleotide positions with the previously described SAM-I riboswitches sequence analysis and molecular recognition experiments suggest that SAM-I and SAM-IV riboswitches share similar ligand binding sites, but have different scaffolds. The record is from RNAcentral. Lineage: Bacteria; Bacillati; Actinomycetota; Actinomycetes; Micrococcales; Micrococcaceae. RNAcentral also lists the same sequence under 1 other name.